GCUUGGCGAGGUCUGCUGCUUGGCGUGGCCGGGUGAAUGCUCUCCUUUGUUCUGGGAAUUCUCACAGGCGUGCGAGCUGAGACUCGUGAGGUGAGAUUGUUCCGGUGGUUUAUGCCACGCUCAAAGGGUCCAGUCAGUGUGUGAAGAUACUAGAAGCGUGGCGACUUUCCCGCUGUCUGACGUGGAGAAGUGAAGCCUUGGAAGCCGGGCUGGUGGAGUACGGGGAGUGUCCAAUUCAGCUCCUCCCGUGUGUGUGAUCACCUGUUCCCCUCCUCGCUGAUGCUCCUCCCCCUGCAAUAGUGCUACUGUUUUUUUUUUUCUCUAUUGUUUUUUUUCUCUUUCCUUAUUGUGUUUUUUUUGUUUUUCUACUUAUUUGUUACGCUUCGUGUUAAUUAUUUGUAUACCUACUCAGUCCUGGUUUGUGAGCUGCCUCUGGUGAGCGGCAGCAGAUUAUUUUAGCAUUUGUGAU
Astyanax mexicanus (Mexican tetra) is the source of this 469-nucleotide long non-coding RNA. RefSeq lists it as uncharacterized. The record is from RefSeq and is a predicted model, not a curated record. The transcript is spliced from 4 exons. Lineage: Eukaryota; Metazoa; Chordata; Actinopteri; Characiformes; Acestrorhamphidae.